This 254-nucleotide ribosomal RNA is filed under the name uncultured bacterium. Its description in RNAcentral is "partial 16S ribosomal RNA". It matches the Rfam family "Bacterial small subunit ribosomal RNA", at positions 524 to 776 of the family's 1533-position model. The record is from RNAcentral.
CACGUAGGCACCAAGCGUUGUCCGGAUUUAUUGGGCGUAAAGAGCUCGUAGGCGGUUCGGUAAGUCGGGUGUGAAAACUUUGGGCUCAACCCAAAGCGUGCACUCGAUACUGCCGUGACUUGAGUUCGGUAGGGGAGCGGGGAAUUCCUAGUGUAGCGGUGAAAUGCGCAGAUAUUAGGAGGAACACCGGUGGCGAAGGCGCCGCUCUGGGCCGAAACUGACGCUGAGGAGCGAAAGCGUGGGUAGCAAACAGG